GAUGAACGCCGGCGGCGUGCCUAACACAUGCAAGUCGAACGGAGUCGUUUUGGAAAUCUCUUCGGAGAUGGAAUUCUCGACUUAGUGGCGGACGGGUGAGUAACGCGUGAGCAAUCUGCCUUUAAGAGGGGGAUAACAGUCGGAAACGGCUGCUAAUACCGCAUAAAGUAUCAAAUUCGCAUGUUUUUGAUGCCAAAGGAGCAAUCCGCUUUUAGAUGAGCUCGCGUCUGAUUAGCUGGUUGGCGGGGUAACGGCCCACCAAGGCGACGAUCAGUAGCCGGACUGAGAGGUUGAACGGCCACAUUGGGACUGAGACACGGCCCAGACUCCUACGGGAGGCAGCAGUGGGGAAUAUUGCGCAAUGGGGCGAACCCUGACGCAGCAACGCCGCGUGAUUGAAGAAGGCCUUCGGGUUGUAAAGAUCUUUAAUCAGGGACGAAGCAAAUGACGGUACCUGAAGAAUAAGCUCC
Molecule: ribosomal RNA, 470 nt
Filed under: uncultured bacterium
Lineage: Bacteria
Description: bacterial SSU rRNA
Rfam family: Bacterial small subunit ribosomal RNA
Source: RNAcentral